AGCAUGGUGACCUAAUGGUUAGCAUGUUGGACUCCAGAUCGAGCGGUCCAGGUUUGAGCCCUGGCUGGGAUCAUUGUGUUG
Molecule: non-coding RNA, 81 nt
Organism: Desmophyllum pertusum
Lineage: Eukaryota; Metazoa; Cnidaria; Anthozoa; Scleractinia; Caryophylliidae
Source: the annotation of a GenBank genome assembly